Molecule: long non-coding RNA, 258 nt
Organism: Hibiscus syriacus
Lineage: Eukaryota; Viridiplantae; Streptophyta; Magnoliopsida; Malvales; Malvaceae
Exons: 3
Source: RefSeq, a predicted model, not a curated record
CGGAGGUGGUGGUGGUGACUUGUACUUGUAUGAAGGUGGAGGUGGAGACUCAUACUUGUACGGAGGUGGUGGUGGUGACUUGUACUUGUAUGGAGGUGGAGGUGGGGACUCAUACUUGUACGGAGGUGGUGGUGGUGAUUUGUACUUGUAUGGAGGUGAAGGUGGUGACUCAUACUUGUACGGUGGAGGUGCGGGUGACUUGUACUUGUAUGAAGGUGGAGGUGGUGACUCAUACUUGUACGGUGGAGGUGGUGGUGG